RNAcentral lists this long non-coding RNA (402 nucleotides) under Pan troglodytes (chimpanzee). RNAcentral describes it as "lincRNA". The record is from RNAcentral. Lineage: Eukaryota; Metazoa; Chordata; Mammalia; Primates; Hominidae.
ACUCAGCCAUCCCGGUUACCGGUGGCAGGAUGAUUUCCUUUCAUCCCAAACUUUGUUUCCAUAGUGAAGUCAUCAUGAAGGAGUACUGUGUUGGCAUCCUCGGCUACAGGGUGUCUCAUUCCACUGCAGUCCAGCGGUUCUGGGAUCAUGAAGGUCAAGCCUCCAGCUGCAGGCAGUACACCUCCUACCUGAGCUUAUUCAGCUGUUUGGCUGAACAUGACUGCCUGGGUUUUGGUAGGAUUGCUGACAUGGAGUCUCACUAUGUCAUCCAGGCUGGAGUGAAGGGGCAAAAUCUCGGCUCACUGCAACCUCUCUCUCCAGCUUCACAGGAUUCCCAUGCCUGGUACUCUUGCUCUGUAGACCAGGCUGGAGUGCAGUGGCAGGAUCUCAGCUCAACACAUC